Molecule: long non-coding RNA, 984 nt
Organism: Megalobrama amblycephala (Wuchang bream)
Lineage: Eukaryota; Metazoa; Chordata; Actinopteri; Cypriniformes; Xenocyprididae
Exons: 2
Source: RefSeq, a predicted model, not a curated record
AAGUGCUUAUUGGUUUCUGUCGUGACUUAUGGGCGGGGCCUGUUUCAUUGUGACGUCACAGCAGAAAAACCUUUAUAAAGUGCAUUAGUUUAGAGUGUUUCGCAGUUCCCUUUGGAGAUAGUCUUUCGACGUUGCGUAGGCUACAUAUAUGGAUCACAUUCACAAGUAACUUGCGUUUCAUGCACAGAUUUUGUUUUUCUUCAACUGUUAUGGAAUAAUAUAAUUUUGGUCACAUAUUUGCGCAACGAGAACUUCAGUCAAGUGGAAAGUAAGAAAUAGUAUCGCUACAAUAACAAGACAAGUAGGCAUGAGACUGCAACAGAUAACAGAAGAGUCACCGAAAACAGACCAGAUCUAGCUGUGGAGUGCACCAGAUGCAGGACUUUAUCCACAGACUCGGUCAUCCUCCGUUUCAACUAUUUUUUUUUCCUUUCUUCUUUUUCCCCCAAGAAUUAAAAGGUGAGUUUUGAUAGUGUCCAUAAAUGCAUUUACAAGCUUUCUUCCAAGCUGUAUUUGGCAUUAUGUUAAGCUUAAAGCUCUAUUAUGAUGAACAGCUGUUUUUUUCUCAAGAGUCAUGGAAAGUGGGGACAGUGUUGAAGAGGCAGGCUGAGGACAGUAGAGGCCAGUCUGAACUUAGCCACCUCAGAUGAGAGGAAGGAGGCGCAGGGAGAGGGGGAGGAGGGACGGUUGUCGAGCGAACAGAUUUGUUGUGGGUUCCUCAGAGGGAAUGGCAAAGACAGAGGGAAAGAGAAAAAGCACACAAAGAAUUAAAAAAUGCUAUCUGUGAUGGCUCCCGGGAGACAUGAAAGAAAAUGAGCGGGAGCCAAGUUUUCAUCAGCAGGUUGUUGGUCUGUCAUGCAUAGUCUCAAGCCAAAGACACACUGGAUCUUUCUUCUGAUCUGCCGUCAGCCAUUCACCUGAUGUUUAGCUGGAAGAGUAUGAGGGCAUGUUUGCAAAAGAAAAAAAGAAAUUGCUGAAAGAUCA